Long non-coding RNA from Nomascus leucogenys (northern white-cheeked gibbon), 895 nucleotides. RefSeq lists it as uncharacterized. NCBI's taxonomy places the organism in Eukaryota, Metazoa, Chordata, Mammalia, Primates, Hylobatidae. The transcript has 2 exons. The record is from RefSeq and is a predicted model, not a curated record.
GGUUAUCUGGAGCUUUAGGUUCAAAGGAAAGAGUGAGGUCUGCUGCUCCCUUCCUCCCUCCUACCCUGUUCCUCACCAACUCCUGGACGGUCCCCACCAUGGGGUUGAGAACUGGGGCUAUGCUGGGAUGUGUCCGUGACACUGAUCGUGGUGGCCAGAGAGACACCGAGGGAGACUGCUCUGCCACCAGAGAGCUGACAUGAGGAAGGAGCCCCAGACUAAAAACAGUGAGUCUCAGGAGACUUGGGAGGUGGCCGCAGGGAUAACCCAACCCUCCAAUUAACGUGCCUGAGCCAGUCUCCUCCUACGUCUGGAACUUUAGGAGAGCUGCCCACAGCAGAAUGACUCGGCAAGGAGAAGGGCUUGUCGGGUCUAGCUGGGAGCGGAGGUGGGCCAGGCUGCCAGAGGGAGGCUCUGGGUGGUGCCCUUAAGAGUCUCCGUCAUGAGCUGUUUUGCACUGUGAGCAUACCUCCAGAGAAGUGCCGAAAGCUUGCAUUCUUGCAGGUAAUACACCCAGCACCCAGAUCAAGAAACGGAACAUAAUCGGCACCCAAGAACCCCACCCUAAAUAUGUAAUUUUAAAAAAGAUUUUAAUAAAUAUCUUUUAGCACGCCCUUUAUAUACAUGGUUUACUUUUAACUUUCUGACCCCCUUGCCCUCCUCCUAGAAUAGAAACCUCCCAACAACCAGGGCUUUCUUCUAGACACAGGCAGCUAGAAAGAGGCCUGGCACAAAGCAGGUGCCAAAACUACCUGCUGAAUGGAUGAGAGUGCAGAGUGCACCCCAGGUGGUGAAGGCAUUGUUUCUGUGGCGUUCUUGUUUCAUCGUUGUAAAGUCCAUUUCUUUCUGUAGGUCACAGUCAAAACAUUGAGAGCCACGGCUACAACUUGAGCAA